Marmota flaviventris (yellow-bellied marmot) is the source of this 1066-nucleotide long non-coding RNA. RefSeq lists it as uncharacterized. The record is from RefSeq and is a predicted model, not a curated record. Lineage: Eukaryota; Metazoa; Chordata; Mammalia; Rodentia; Sciuridae.
CGCCACGGCCCCACUCCCCGUCGCCCCCGGGUCGCCGCUCGCUGUCCCCUGCGGCCGAGGCCGCUGGGACUUUCUCAGUGCUGAUUUCGGAUCCAUCGCGUCUCCCAGUGUCUCUGUGGGAGACACUGUGGGCAUGACCCCCUGAAACACACAUACGCACACGCGUCUCGUCCCUGCUGCAGACCCGGCAGCUAUGGGAACCCCCGGUUUUCGGUGGGCUGCACGUUGACCAGCACAGGCUUCACGGAAAACCGCCCACCUGGCGUUUGGACCCCAAUCCACAAGGAGAGCGGUCUGGGUCUCUGGGUCAAUGUUUCAUUCAGAGAAGAUGAUUAAACUGCUGCAUCAAGGUCAAGGCCUAUGACCGAGUCGGGAACUGCAAGACAAGGGAUGUUAAGACUGUAACAUGUAGCUGACAGCCAGGCCUGGCCUCUAGAACAUCAUCAGGGCUUUUCAUCAAGACUCCAGGAGAAAAUAAAUGCACAUAUCAUCUGUGCCCUUGGCAUGGGCAGCAAGGGUGACCUUGAUUUUCAGGUGUGCACAGCUACCUUUGACCUUCAAGUCCCACUGGAGAGGCAUAGGCAUGAUCCCAACGAAAAGGAAGCUGCCUGAGUCAGCCCCCAGCGACCUUGCAUAGUCCACCAUUGUCCUUGUGUCUUAGCACUUCAGUCUGCAAUCAAUCAAUGCCCAUUUGGUGCUCAGCAAAUCCCACAGAGAUGUUCAGUUCAAGGACUCUGGACGGACGUGCAGGACGGAUCUCAAGGACAUGGUGGUAUUUGACAACUCUCCUUAUGCCAAUGUGGAUCAAAAGAUAUUUUGUACAAUGUUCCUAAAUAUAACUCCUAAGAAUUGCAUGAGGUCUUGGAAGAGAAUGGGGGGAGAGAGAAGCCUUCCAAGUGGGACUCCCGGUGGCUUACACAAGCUUCCUCUGCCUCAGCACCACACACAGGGCCAACAGCACCACUGUGCUGAAAGCCUUGCUUUGCCUUUUCUGUCCCCACUUAUUGUAGCUUUUGACCUUCUAGGUCAAAGAGCAAAGUGUAAUUACAAAGUUCAUUGUCCACUA